AAGUCGUAACAAGGUUUCCGUAGGUGAACCUGCGGAAGGAUCAUUAACACGUUUCUAUCAUAAAACGUAACACCAAACGCGAACUAAGUUAUUUAGAUCCUAGACUAUGCAUGUGAAUUGACGACCGUAUAAUAUAAUGAUGUGGACAAUCUUCUGAUUGUCAUGUUAUAUGGUUACAAGUUGUACCUAACCGUACAGACAAUUGUGAUGCAUUAGUCAGGACAUACCCCUUGCUUGUAACUCUCCUCACACCAUGUGAGUUCAAGUGAGAACAUUAUUCACACAUUUCACCAUACUUUUUGCUAGUUGACUUUAUCAUGUUAUUAUUCGUAAGGAUCGUAACACGUUUAUUAAUUGAACGUUAAAUUGUACAACUCUUAGCAAUGGAUAUCUUGGUUCUC
This 401-nucleotide unclassified non-coding RNA is filed under the name fungal sp. RNAcentral's name for it is "partial internal transcribed spacer region". The stretch from base 1 to 46 matches the Rfam family "Eukaryotic small subunit ribosomal RNA", at positions 1786 to 1831 of the family's 1831-position model. Lineage: Eukaryota; Fungi. The record is from RNAcentral.